GGUAGGACGUGUCGGCUGC
This 19-nucleotide small RNA is filed under the name Arabidopsis thaliana (thale cress). RNAcentral's name for it is "Ath_wt_03468". The record is from RNAcentral. Lineage: Eukaryota; Viridiplantae; Streptophyta; Magnoliopsida; Brassicales; Brassicaceae.